AUUUCUCUUUAUAUAUUAAGGUAAAAAGAAUUUUAAAACAGUGCAACAAUCCUUUUUUACAUAUAAAGCUCUCGCAUUAUACAUAUAAAAAUAUUUACAGGCACAAAAUCAGUGAAGACAAAGACAUCCUCAAGAAAAAUAUUGUCCCAAAGAACUUCCUCAUGAUUUGGAUCCUUCUUCCUAUAUUACUAUCUACUACGACCUGUCAACUUCUACCAACAGUAAACGUCUUGUCGUCGUGCUGCCCAUUUUUUCUAUUUUCUUGCCUAACUGUAGCAUUAACUGAAAUAUCUGGAGGUUCUAUUUAUCUCUAACUUCAAUCAUGUGAUACGCCUGGAAUUCUUGUACUACAAAGCUAAGACUUAAGAGGGUCAGUUGAAAAUUCUCUGGCCUGGCGAUAGCAUCAUUUUUGGAUCAAACAGAGCUUUCCUCUCUCGAAAAGUUCUCCAUUUGGAUCCAAAAUGGUUGAUCCAUUCCUCUUUACUUUUGUCAUGGGGAAAAUACUGCUUAACCUUGAUGCCCGCUUUUUCACAGAACUUUAACAGUUCUUUGUUCUGAUCAUCAUACUUCUGCCAGUCAUCAAACCCACUUGAAUGCAGAAAUCCCACUGUGUAAAAUACUUCCUCAUCUGGUAUGACUGCAGAAGUUCGAUCAUCCCAUUUGUUUCGGUUCAUUGGGUAAAUAAGGACAGGUCCUGUGGUAAUGUUUCGUUUAAGAACAAUGUCUCGGAAAACACCUGAAUUGAAGUCAGAAAUACGAGAUUUUGGCAGAAAAAGAUUAAGCCAUGGAUGAGGAACAUCCCAGAGUCCUUGUGACUGAAGCUUUAGCUCUCCAUUUCUUACUCUAUCUAAAAACUCCACAUACGACACAUCUUUCUCCAACUUAAAUCCAGGAAUGAAGCUUAACCCUUUGUACAUUUGCUGAAGUUCCUUGGCCACAGAAUGUUGGGUUGUAUCAUCAUAAUACUUGGCCACUUCAAGACAGUAGAUGAUGCCGUGUUGGGUUACUAUUGACAUUAUUCUGGGGAUAUCAGACGAAGGGAAAAAGGAAGAUCUCCAAUUAUUUGGAGGACCCUGGUUCAUAAGAAGUGAACCUUCCACGUAAUCAAGUGCAUUGCUUUGUUUUCUUCCAUUGAUUGAGAUUAAACGUUCUUGGUCUUUUGUGAAGGCUGAGAAAUCGCUGUAAAGCACCCGUACCCACUUAACCCUCUUUGGUGCUGGCUCUAUACCUAUUCUAGCCCUGGUUAUGAUUCCAAAUUGGCCUAGGCCGCCCAGAACAGCAUAAAAUAGCUCAGAAUUCUUGUGCGCAGAGCAAGUGACAAGCUCGCCUUUUCCAGUUACAACAUCCAUUUCGUAGACGUUGCUGAUCUGAGGACCAUAUCGAAAACUUUGUCCACUUAUUCCAGCAUUAGAGAGCGUCCCUCCAACGGUGAGAUACAAGUAAUCGGUCCAUGACACCGGUGCAAGUCCAUGCUCCAAUGUGGCUUUUAACACAUCAAUCCAUAGCUGUUCGCCUCCAACAUCUGCAUAAAACCCCAGUGAAGGGUUCUUUGAGACUAUAACUCCAUUCUGCUCUCUAUGACUCCUUAGAUGCAUCAUGUCUACUACUACUCCAUUAGGAGCCAUAGCUUGUCCAAAUACAGAAUGACUGCGGCCUCUAGCAGAUACAGUAAAAGGAGCAGAAUUAUUGUAGGCGAAUUUUAUUAGACUCACGAUGUCUUGUGUGGAUGAUGGAUAAAGAACUGCGGCUGGGUUUUCGUGGACAAUGUUACCAUAAUCGCUAGAGGCUGAUUCAAUGGCUAAAGAGUCUGUGCGAAUUCUCUCGGAGAAAUCAAGGCUUAGGAGAUUAGGUGGCAGGAAAUCUGUCCAGGGCUUGGAUUUUCCUAUUGCGGACACUAAACGAGUUACAAAUAAUAAUAUGACUAUGGAAUGAGCUGGAACUGCGUAAUUCACAGCCAUUUUUCUUUGUGCUUUCUCGUCUGGCUUUCUGGAUAGCUAGCAAAAGAAAGAAAGGAAGGUUUUACUCGUCUAGCUUUCUUGAUAGUGAAAGAAAGAAGAGCAAAGGAGGCCGAAGUGAGGAGGGGUAUUUUCUAAUGGUGGUGGAGA
Molecule: unclassified non-coding RNA, 2105 nt
Filed under: Hevea brasiliensis (rubber tree)
Lineage: Eukaryota; Viridiplantae; Streptophyta; Magnoliopsida; Malpighiales; Euphorbiaceae
Source: RNAcentral